AAGUCGUAACAAGGUUUCCGUAGGUGAACCUGCGGAAGGAUCAUUAACACGUAUCCAACGUUAAACCCCCCGUGCACACAGCGACCUGCUCCCCUCAAUUUCGGUCUUUUGGCAAUCCCUGGUAAAUCAUCGCCGAACAGUUUUGAUUCAGGGACAUCCAAAGGGCCGGGGUAGGGUAUUAAAGUAGUAGUCAAUGCAAAGCAACCUGGUUUCUUUGAAGCAGAAAGUGUGAUGGCGUGAGCCGGAGAACGGACCGAGUGGUAGUUCAAAGGUGCCUUCUGUCGCGCACUGUUGAAGGAAGACGUGACCGGUUCCUGGUCCUAGACCCCAUAUUCACCACCACAGUCGCAGACGAGGUAGGGAUACGUCCCUACCACCAAAUAAAUACUUGAGCAACCGUUAACAAUGGAUAUCUUGGUUCUC
This 423-nucleotide unclassified non-coding RNA is filed under the name fungal sp. RNAcentral describes it as "partial internal transcribed spacer region". The stretch from base 1 to 46 matches the Rfam family "Eukaryotic small subunit ribosomal RNA", at positions 1786 to 1831 of the family's 1831-position model. The record is from RNAcentral. Lineage: Eukaryota; Fungi.